RNAcentral lists this ribosomal RNA (479 nucleotides) under uncultured bacterium. RNAcentral describes it as "bacterial SSU rRNA". It matches the Rfam family "Bacterial small subunit ribosomal RNA", at positions 15 to 507 of the family's 1533-position model. The record is from RNAcentral.
GAUCAUGGCUCAGAAUGAACGUUGGCGGCGUGGAUUAGGCAUGCGAGUCGUGCGAGAACCGUAGCAAUACGGGGACAGCGGCGAAAGGGAGAGGAACACGUGGAUACCUACCCUCAGGUUCUGGAUAGCUAUGGGAAACUAUAGGUAAUACUGAAUAAUAUCUCCGGAUCAAAGGUGUGAUUCCGCCGGAGGAGGGGUCCGCGUCCUAUUAGCUAGUUGGUGAGGUAAUGGCUCACCAAGGCGAAGAUGGGUACGGGAUGUGAGAACAUGAUCCCGCUCAUUGGGACUGAGACACUGCCCAGACACCUACGGGUGGCUGCAGUCGAGAAUCUUCGGCAAUGGGGGAAACCCUGACCGAGCGACGCCGCGUGUGAGAUGAAGGCCUUCGGGUUGUAAAUCACUGUCGUAGAGGAGGAAGUGUAGGUGGGUUCUCCCACUUAUUUGACCUAUUCUAGGAGGAAGGACGGGCUAAGUUCGUG